Molecule: ribosomal RNA, 477 nt
Filed under: uncultured bacterium
Lineage: Bacteria
Description: partial 16S ribosomal RNA
Rfam family: Bacterial small subunit ribosomal RNA
Source: RNAcentral
AUGAACGCUGGCGGCGUGCUUAACACAUGCAAGUCGAACGGGAAACCUUUUAUUGAAGCUUCGGCAGAUUUAGCUGGUUUCUAGUGGCGGACGGGUGAGUAACGCGUGGGUAACCUGCCUUAUACAGGGGGAUAACAGUCAGAAAUGGCUGCUAAUACCGCAUAAGCGCACAGAGCUGCAUGGCUCAGUGUGAAAAACUCCGGUGGUAUAAGAUGGACCCGCGUUGGAUUAGCUGGUUGGUGGGGUAACGGCCCACCAAGGCGACGAUCCAUAGCCGGCCUGAGAGGGUGAACGGCCACAUUGGGACUGAGACACGGCCCAGACUCCUACGGGAGGCAGCAGUGGGGAAUAUUGCACAAUGGGGCAAACCCUGAUGCAGCGACGCCGCGUGAAGGAAGAAGUAUCUCGGUAUGUAAACUUCUAUCAGCAGGGAAGAUAAUGACGGUACCUGACUAAGAAGUCCCGGCUAACUACGUG